GAAAGAAAGGGAAGAUGAGAGAGGAGGAUGAGAGGAUGAGUCCCAAAAGUGAAAAUAAAAACAAAAACUGAAAUCUAUUUGAAAUAUUGAUUUUCACUUUCAAGUUUUUGUUUUCACUUUUGUUACUCUUCUCUCUCAUCCUCUCCUUCAUCUCCCCUUUCAAU
Molecule: microRNA precursor, 164 nt
Filed under: Prunus dulcis (almond)
Lineage: Eukaryota; Viridiplantae; Streptophyta; Magnoliopsida; Rosales; Rosaceae
Description: sRNA ncRNA
Source: RNAcentral